UCCUUCAAAGCAAGUUGAAAAGGAGCAAUCAUUUAAUUGCUACGAAUCUGAUGAAGAUGAUGACCCAGCUGUGAAAGUUAAAAAAAUUCUUGAAUAUGAAAAGAAAAAAUUCAUGAGUGAAAGGCUUGGUAGGAGAACUAGUAGGACAGAAGUUGACAAGUAUUUGGCUGAAGAAAUUGAGAUGGAUAAGGAUGAUUUUAAUAUUUUAAGUUGGUGGAAGUUGAAUGGGCCUAGAUUUCCCAUUCUCUCAAUUGGCAAGGGAUGUUUUGGCUGUCCCAAUUUCUACUGUUGCUUCUGAGUCUACUUUCAGCACUGGAGGACGUGUGCUAGAUUCAUCUAGGAGCUCUUUAACUCCUAAAGUUGUGCAAUCUCUUGUUUGUGGUCAAGACUGGCUUCACCACUCACUUCCGGUUCUAGUAGAAGAGAAGAUAGAUGACGCACAAAAGAUUGAGAGAGAUCUUCAAAAAAUUGCUAUAGAAGCGAAUGUGGAUGUACUAUGAGCCUUUGUUCUUAAUGACUUGAGUCAUGGCAGCAACAGCACCUGAGGCUGAGGAAUCACAAUUUGAUGCUCGUCAAUAUGACACCAAAAUUAAUGAAUUGUUGCAAGAUGCUAGUGCUAUGGUACUCCAUUUAUGAAGGUUGCUUAUUUUAUUUUGUUUUACUAAUUUGGAUAUUUGAUUAUUGU
Long non-coding RNA from Prosopis cineraria, 685 nucleotides. RefSeq lists it as uncharacterized. The transcript is spliced from 4 exons. Lineage: Eukaryota; Viridiplantae; Streptophyta; Magnoliopsida; Fabales; Fabaceae. The record is from RefSeq and is a predicted model, not a curated record.